AAAUCAAGACGACAGCUCCUUUUCUUCCACUGCGAUGCGUCUUCGAAGUUGGAAUCCUCCCCUGUUUUGUUGGAUUGAAACUCCUUAGAAGCUGCGCACGAGAAAUUCUCCCUAAGAUAUUGGCGCUGGCGGGGGGAAAUCUUCGCAGUUUGCGCCAAAAUCACAAACUCGAUUCUUAUCGGCUAAUCGUAACGGAAUCAAUGGAGGAUGAUUUUUAUGCUUUUAUGCCCAUUCCGCAAUUGGCGGACACACGAAGUUCACCCAGGCAAUUCAUCGAACAGGUGGAGACAAAAGAAUAGGUGUCUCCAUCUAUGCCUAAUGAGGUAAAUCAUGUUGGAGGAGGACUUCAAUUAAGGUAGGCGAGCAGAUCAGGCUGGCAAAUAGAGGGGCUUCAGUGCUGCCUUGUCAGUAGAUAGUGAGUAUGUUUGUGAAAGAUUUUUGUAUAUCCCAGCAUAGUUAGGGGUAUUUUGGGAAACAAAUAUAUGUGUAUAUUUUGGGAAACAUGUUAGUACUCUAGUAUUGUAUAUAUAUAUUUAUAUAUGGUUAUGCCUAUGUGAUUUUUGCUUCUC
This is a long non-coding RNA of Malania oleifera, 569 nucleotides long. RefSeq lists it as uncharacterized. NCBI's taxonomy places the organism in Eukaryota, Viridiplantae, Streptophyta, Magnoliopsida, Santalales, Ximeniaceae. The transcript has 3 exons. The record is from RefSeq and is a predicted model, not a curated record.